RNAcentral lists this ribosomal RNA (684 nucleotides) under uncultured beta proteobacterium. RNAcentral's name for it is "bacterial SSU rRNA". It matches the Rfam family "Bacterial small subunit ribosomal RNA", at positions 28 to 708 of the family's 1533-position model. Lineage: Bacteria; Pseudomonadati; Pseudomonadota; Betaproteobacteria. The record is from RNAcentral.
AUUGAACGCUGGCGGCAUGCCUUACACAUGCAAGUCGAACGGUAACGCGGGGCAACCUGGCGACGAGUGGCGAACGGGUGAGUAAUGUAUCGGAACGCGCCCAGUAGUGGGGGAUAGCCCGGCGAAAGCCGGAUUAAUACCGCAUACGACCUACGGGUGAAAGCGGGGGAUCGCAAGACCUCGCGCUAUUGGAGCGGCCGAUAUCAGAUUAGGUAGUUGGUGGGGUAAAGGCCUACCAAGCCUACGAUCUGUAGCUGGUCUGAGAGGACGACCAGCCACACUGGGACUGAGACACGGCCCAGACUCCUACGGGAGGCAGCAGUGGGGAAUUUUGGACAAUGGGCGCAAGCCUGAUCCAGCCAUGCCGCGUGCGGGAAGAAGGCCUUCGGGUUGUAAACCGCGUUUGUCAGGGAAGAAACGCUCUGGGCUAAUACCCCGGGGUAAUGACGGUACCUGAAGAAUAAGCACCGGCUAACUACGUGCCAGCAGCCGCGGUAAUACGUAGGGUGCAAGCGUUAAUCGGAAUUACUGGGCGUAAAGCGUGCGCAGGCGGUCUUGCAAGACAGAUGUGAAAUCCCCGGGCUCAACCUGGGGAACUGCAUUUGUGACUGCAAGGCUGGAGUGCGGCAGAGGGGGAUGGAAUUCCGCGUGUAGCAGUGAAAUGCGUAGAUAUGCGGAGGAACA